RNAcentral lists this microRNA (25 nucleotides) under Bombyx mori (domestic silkworm). Its description in RNAcentral is "bmo-miR-3228". The record is from miRBase by way of RNAcentral. Lineage: Eukaryota; Metazoa; Arthropoda; Insecta; Lepidoptera; Bombycidae.
GAGAUCAAAUGUUGCUGUCCUUGGA